This 391-nucleotide long non-coding RNA is filed under the name Capsicum annuum. RNAcentral describes it as "long non-coding RNA (CANN_LNC008980)". Lineage: Eukaryota; Viridiplantae; Streptophyta; Magnoliopsida; Solanales; Solanaceae. The record is from RNAcentral.
AUCAAGAAUGAGAAAAAAGUCUUCUAAAGUUUUUUGUUCAUAAAGUUCUUAGUUUGUUCAUCAAAAAAAAAAAAAAGGGAAGAGUGUGUAGUGUACAUUAAUCUUUUAUUCCUUCAUUUUUCGGUAGCCGCUAGCUUUCAGGGGACUCUCGAAAGGGAAACCUCACUUCUUCCUUAAGACAUGUAAGUAGUCAUUACAUAGAUCUUUGUAUUUUUCUCCCUAGUUUGUAAAUCAUGUUUGAAUUAACGAAGUUCAUAUUUUCUUUCAGAUGUGUUUUUAACAUUAUAGAUCUGGAUGACCGUGCAUAUUACCGUCAGUUUUUCGAUCUUGUAAAAUUAGUAAAUUACUUAUUAGUACAUAUGUUUUAAUAUUCUAAAUCUGGAUAGCCGUG